UCGCCCUUCGUGUAUUUUUAUGAGGGGUUGGGCCUGCCCGGUGAUUAGUCAAAUUUUGAAAUUAUUAUUUAAUUAGAAAUUUUUUUUAACGGCUGCAAUUAGUAGUUGUGCUAAGGUAGCGUAAUCAUUUGCCCCCUAAUUAGGGGAAGGUAUGAAUGGUUUGACGUGGGAAGAGCUGUCUCUUUUGUAUAAAAAGAAGUUUAUUUUUGAGUGAAAAAGCUUAAAUGUUUAUAAAAGACGAGAAGACCCUAUCGAACUUGAAUUGUGUAUUUGAGUUCUUUGAAUGCAGAAAGUUUAGUUGGGGAAACUUAAAGUUAAAAAAAACGCUUUUUUUUUAUAAAAUGAUCCUGUAUUAUGGAAAAAUGAAAAAGUUACCGUAGGGAUAACAGCGCUUUCUUCUCUGAGAGGACUAAUUAAAGAGUUGGUUGCGACCUCGAUGUUGGAUUAAGGUUUCUUUUUGGGGUAGGAGUUAAAAUAGUAAAACUGUUCGUUUUUUAAAACCUUA
Molecule: ribosomal RNA, 505 nt
Filed under: Euglesa hinzi
Lineage: Eukaryota; Metazoa; Mollusca; Bivalvia; Venerida; Sphaeriidae
Description: partial large subunit ribosomal RNA
Rfam family: Bacterial large subunit ribosomal RNA
Source: RNAcentral